AUUGAACGCUGGCGGCAGGCCUAACACAUGCAAGUCGAGGGGUAACGAGAGGAAAGCUUGCUUUCCUUGUCGACGACCGGCGCACGGGUGAGUAACGCGUAUCCAACCUGCCCCCAACUAGGGAAUAACCUUGCGAAAGUAAGACUAAUACCCUAUAAUUUCCUCAGAUGACAUCUGACGAGGAAUAAAGAUUUAUCGGUUGUGGAUGGGGAUGCGUCUGAUUAGCUUGUUGGCGGGGUAACGGCCCACCAAGGCAACGAUCAGUAGGGGUUCUGAGAGGAAGGUCCCCCACAUUGGAACUGAGACACGGUCCAAACUCCUACGGGAGGCAGCAGUGAGGAAUAUUGGUCAAUGGGCGAAAGCCUGAACCAGCCAAGUAGCGUGCAGGAUGACGGCCCUAUGGGUUGUAAACUGCUUUUAUACAGGAAUAAAGUUAGCCACGUGUGGUUAUUUGUAGGUACUGUAUGAAUAAGGACCGGCUAAUUCCGUGCCAGCCGCCGCUGUAA
RNAcentral lists this ribosomal RNA (506 nucleotides) under uncultured bacterium. RNAcentral's name for it is "partial 16S ribosomal RNA". It matches the Rfam family "Bacterial small subunit ribosomal RNA", at positions 30 to 523 of the family's 1533-position model. The record is from RNAcentral.